AGAGCUUUGCUGCAUAGCAGUUAAAGACGCGACUAUAAGGAAAGACGAAGUUUUAGUUUUAGUUGUCAAUUCAAGAUAUUUUUCGGUUGAUGAUCCUGAGUAAAAUCGGGAUCAUUCUUCUGAUAAAUAGGACAGUCUCAUAGCUCAGCUGGUUAGAGCGCUACACUGAUAAUGUAGAGGUCGGCAGUUCGAGUCUGCCUGAGACUACUACGUACUAAAAUGUGUGAAGUAUAUCCGCGAAGGCGGAUGUCUUUAAGACUAAAGUCACAGACUUGGUUUUAGAGGAAGUUCAUAAACAAAUAUUGAAGGAAAUUCUAGAAGCUAAGAAUUCUAAUUCUAGUAAAAUUCUGAAUUCUAAAUUCUGAAUUUAUCUGGGGGAUUAGCUCAGCUGGCUAGAGCGCCUGCCUUGCACGCAGGAGGUCAUCGGUUCGACUCCGAUAUUCUCCACCAUUUUAAUUUUGAAUUCAAAAUUUUGAAUUUAUAAUUGAAUACAGUUCAUUGACAUAUUGGGAAAUAAUAAGAAUACGAGAGAAACAAAUUUUAUAUAGUUAGUAAUAACUAAGUUAUAUUAUAGAUAGAACUCAUUAAUAAUACAAAGGCCAAGGUAGCAAUACCAAUGGUCCUUAUAAGAGCAAAAAGUACA
Molecule: transfer RNA, 643 nt
Filed under: uncultured Flavobacteriaceae bacterium
Lineage: Bacteria; Pseudomonadati; Bacteroidota; Flavobacteriia; Flavobacteriales; Flavobacteriaceae
Description: 16S-23S ribosomal RNA intergenic spacer
Rfam family: tRNA (bases 134-207)
Source: RNAcentral